RNAcentral lists this ribosomal RNA (495 nucleotides) under uncultured bacterium. Its description in RNAcentral is "partial 16S ribosomal RNA". It matches the Rfam family "Bacterial small subunit ribosomal RNA", at positions 28 to 507 of the family's 1533-position model. The record is from RNAcentral.
GACGAACGCUGGCGGCGUGCCUAAUACAUGCAAGUAGAACGCUGAAGGAGGAGCUUGCUCUUCUGGAUGAGUUGCGAACGGGUGAGUAACGCGUAGGUAACCUGCCUGGUAGCGGGGGAUAACUAUUGGAAACGAUAGCUAAUACCGCAUAAUAGUAGAUGUUGCAUGAUAUUUGCUUGAAAGGUGCAAUUGCAUCACUACCAGAUGGACCUGCGUUGUAUUAGCUAGUUGGUGGGGUAACGGCUCACCAAGGCGACGAUACAUAGCCGACCUGAGAGGGUGAUCGGCCACACUGGGACUGAGACACGGCCCAGACUCCUACGGGAGGCAGCAGUAGGGAAUCUUCGGCAAUGGACGGAAGUCUGACCGAGCAACGCCGCGUGAGUGAAGAAGGUUUUCGGAUCGUAAAGCUCUGUUGUAAGAGAAGAACGAGUGUGAGAGUGGAAAGUUCACACUGUGACGGUAUCUUACCAGAAAGGGACGGCUAACUACGUG